Molecule: long non-coding RNA, 420 nt
Organism: Clupea harengus (Atlantic herring)
Lineage: Eukaryota; Metazoa; Chordata; Actinopteri; Clupeiformes; Clupeidae
Source: Ensembl
UGUGGCUGUCGCCAGGCAACCGGCAUGGGCUGGGCCGGCCCCUGGGCGGGGCCUGAGACUGCAGCAUGGCUACCUCACCCUGAGGCCACCGCCCACUCAGGGGGCAUUUGCAUUCAGCGUCCCGCCUCUGCUUCACCGUGGCGACGGUGAGAGCUCUACUGAGGAGGCAAAUGUCAGGGAAGGGGGCUCAAACGGCUCGACGCAUUCCAGAACAGUCCUGGGCCCAUUGGGAGGGCUGCCUGCUGUUCAGUCCCACAGUCCACAGUCCCAGGAGAGGUGACUGAAGGCCCCAGAGGAGAGGUGACUGAAGGCCCCAGAGGAGAGGUGGCUGAAGGCCCCAGAGGAGAGGUGGCCCCAGAGGAGAGGUGGCUGAAGGCCCCAGAGGAGAGGUGGCCCCAGAGGAGAGGUGACUGAAGGCCC